AAGCUUUUGAAGUUAUUUCCUCCUUUAGUUUUGAAAUUUUGGUUUACAAAGUAGAGUUAUUACUUUCUAAAGAAAAUAAUUUUUCGCUUAGAGCGGAAAUAUUAUUCUCAAUCUCUUUAUGAGUUUCAGAAGUAGUUACUUGGACUUGUUUAAGGUCAUUGUAUUUGCUUUGAAGACUCUGGUACUUUUCCAGCAUUUCAAAAAGACAACUUUCAAUAUCAGAACGAGAUAGAUUAGAGAAUACCUCUUCAGAAUCAAAGUCUGAUUCUGAUUCUGACAGAACC
Molecule: long non-coding RNA, 284 nt
Filed under: Lathyrus oleraceus (garden pea)
Lineage: Eukaryota; Viridiplantae; Streptophyta; Magnoliopsida; Fabales; Fabaceae
Description: Pisum sativum (pea) long non-coding RNA (PSAT_LNC035110)
Source: RNAcentral